UCUGAAUAGAGUCUGAAGAGU
Molecule: microRNA, 21 nt
Filed under: Homo sapiens (human)
Lineage: Eukaryota; Metazoa; Chordata; Mammalia; Primates; Hominidae
Description: hsa-miR-4427
Source: miRBase by way of RNAcentral